GUGAGGAAUAUUGCGCAAUGGAGGCAACUCUGACGCAGCCAUGCCGCGUGCAGGAAGAAGGCGCUACGCGUUGUAAACUGCUUUUAACCGGGAAGAAACCCCAGGACGUGUCCUGGGUUGACGGUACCGGAGGAAUAAGCACCGGCUAACUUCGUGCCAGCAGCCGCGGUAAUACGAAGGGUGCAAGCGUUAUCCGGAUUCAUUGGGUUUAAAGGGUGCGUAGGCGGAGCGUUAAGUCAGUGGUGAAAUCCUGCAGCUUAACUGUAGACUUGCCAUUGAUACUGGCGCUCUUGAGUGCGCUUGAAGUGGGCGGAAUGUGCCGUGUAGCGGUGAAAUGCUUAGAUAUGGCACAGAACACCAAUUGCGAAGGCAGCUCUCUAAGGCGAUACUGACGCUGAGGCACGAAAGCGUGGGGAUCGAACAGGAUUAGAUACCCUUGUAGUCC
Molecule: ribosomal RNA, 445 nt
Filed under: uncultured bacterium
Lineage: Bacteria
Description: partial 16S ribosomal RNA
Rfam family: Bacterial small subunit ribosomal RNA
Source: RNAcentral